GGACUUUCUGGAAAACAAGUUCAGCCUUGCUAUCUGCGCCUGGCACGUGAGAAUGAAAACUGGUUUGUUUGGAGCAAAGGCCUCCCUGCAGUCACUGACAGGGUUUGGAAACAGCUCUGCAGGAUGUCCUGGGACCAGUGUGACACAACUGGGAGUACCAGCUAGCUGAAAAACUCGCUUCAGAAGCGCUCAGCCAUGGCCUGCUGAGGAACUGGAGAGUUACAAAGAGCCUUCUGCACUCGCCCACCUCUGGCCCUUCCUCCUUCCCCAUCACCAAUUUCUGCUCUGCCUUCCCAGUUGUGCUGAUCACGCACCUUUUGAUCUCACUGUGGUUUUGAACCUCCUGAAAUGAGUUUUGUA
RNAcentral lists this long non-coding RNA (360 nucleotides) under Chrysolophus pictus (golden pheasant). RNAcentral's name for it is "lncRNA (ENSCPIG00010008192.1)". The record is from RNAcentral. Lineage: Eukaryota; Metazoa; Chordata; Aves; Galliformes; Phasianidae.